ACUUUUUUUUGCUGUGAAGUGAGUGCCUUGAUCAGAACAGUGAAACGGCGUUUUGAAGACUCAGAUACAGUGUCAGUCUUAGUUCCAAAGGGAAGAGUGCUUCCACCAGGAAACACAACAGUGAUUCCACCAAACUCUCAGUUAACGUGCCACCCAGCCACUUGGGGCUCCUCAUGCUUCUGAGUCAACAGGCUAAGAAGGGAGCUGCUGUGUUUUCUGGGGUGAUUGGUCCUGGCUACCAAGGGAAAAUUGGGCUGCUACUCCCCGACGGAGUUACAGGAUACCAAAGAGAAGAGUAAACAUGACCCAAGAACCCUACGUCCUCUUCUGGGGAAGGUUUAGUGUGUCUCUGGUUUUACCCAAGAUAGUUGAAUCAGGUUCAUCCGUGAACUGUGUGUGAGCUGCG
This 406-nucleotide long non-coding RNA is filed under the name Homo sapiens (human). RNAcentral describes it as "HSALNT0248284". Lineage: Eukaryota; Metazoa; Chordata; Mammalia; Primates; Hominidae. The record is from RNAcentral.